UACGAAGGGGGCUAGCGUUGCUCGGAAUCACUGGGCGUAAAGGGCGCGUAGGCGGAUCUUUAAGUCGGGGGUGAAAGCCCAGGGCUCAACCCUGGAAUUGCCUUCGAUACUGUUUGGCUUGAGACCGGAAGAGGUUAGUGGAACUGCGAGUGUAGAGGUGAAAUUCGUAGAUAUUCGCAAGAACACCAGUGGCGAAGGCGGCUGACUGGUCCGGUUCUGACGCUGAGGCGCGAAAGCGUGGGGAGCAAACAGG
RNAcentral lists this ribosomal RNA (253 nucleotides) under uncultured bacterium. RNAcentral describes it as "partial 16S ribosomal RNA". It matches the Rfam family "Bacterial small subunit ribosomal RNA", at positions 524 to 776 of the family's 1533-position model. The record is from RNAcentral.